AUUGAACGCUGGCGGCAUGCCUUACACAUGCAAGUCGAACGGCAGCACGGGUGCUUGCCCCUGGUGGCGAGUGGCGAACGGGUGAGUAAUACAUCGGAACAUGUCCUGUAGUGGGGGAUAGCCCGGCGAAAGCCGGAUUAAUACCGCAUACGAUCUACGGAUGAAAGCGGGGGACCUUCGGGCCUCGCGCUAUAGGGUUGGCCGAUGGCUGAUUAGCUAGUUGGUGGGGUAAAGGCCUACCAAGGCGACGAUCAGUAGCUGGUCUGAGAGGACGACCAGUCACACUGGGACUGAGACACGGCCCAGACUCCUACGGGAGGCAGCAGUGGGGAAUUUUGGACAAUGGGCGAAAGCCUGAUCCAGCAAUGCCGCGUGUGUGAAGAAGGCCUUCGGGUUGUAAAGCACUUUUGUCCGGAAAGAAAUCCUUGGCUCUAAUACAGUCGGGGGAUGACGGUACCGGAAGAAUAAGCACCGGCUAACUACGUG
Molecule: ribosomal RNA, 486 nt
Filed under: uncultured bacterium
Lineage: Bacteria
Description: partial 16S ribosomal RNA
Rfam family: Bacterial small subunit ribosomal RNA
Source: RNAcentral